RNAcentral lists this long non-coding RNA (1487 nucleotides) under Triticum aestivum (bread wheat). Its description in RNAcentral is "long non-coding RNA (TAES_LNC025132)". Lineage: Eukaryota; Viridiplantae; Streptophyta; Magnoliopsida; Poales; Poaceae. The record is from RNAcentral.
AUCCCUAUAGUCGAAUGGACAGUAGUUUGAGGAUACAUGCUACCCACACUGGCCAUCAAAUAUUUUCCAAAGUGAAAAUCAAACAGUUCAAAUCUCACAAACUAUAUUCAGAAGAUUCUUACCUGUUACCAUUUCAGCACAUUAGAAGAUCUAACCAAACUAUCACCUUGUGUAUCAUGCAUCAUGUCAGCUCCAUCAAGUCCACCAGCAAUGGAUGUGCAUAGAAGCAUAAGGCAAUCAUUUAAUAAAGUUUCAACAAAAAUAUAAAUGGAUAUGAGAAGGCAACAGUGAGUAUAUUACUAUAUUACAUAGAUGAAUUGACAAAUAUAAGAAAAAGAUGCACUCUUUUAUUUACAUUUUACAACUAACUAGUAAGAAAUAAAACUAUAUAUGUUGCUUUUUGAAAGGAAUAUUCAUUUAAACAAUAUAUAUAUAUAUAUAUAUAUAUAUAUAUGUAUAUACGUAUCUCAUAAUAAAGUUUAGCUUAUAAGAAUGGAAGACAUGGCCUAGCAUUGAUCUCAUUUAACUCAUCACUCCUCAUUUCAAGAAGACAAAAUAGAAACAUGCGAAAAAUCAUAAACACUACCAGGAAAAGUGAUCUUGGGUAUUCAAAUUAAGUAAACAGAGCAUGCUUAGAGACAACAAAUGCGGAAAAAAGGUGUGUUGCAUAAGUCACUUGCAGGACGAAUACAACUACGUUGGAUGAUAACACAAAAGAAGGCCAUAAGCUUGUCUAUCUAAGAAAUGAAUAUGAAGCAUGAAGACAAAUAUAUUGAAUGAUAACAUAUUAAACAAUAUAGCUAUAAGUUUGUCUAUAUAGCAAAUGGACGGUAACUAAGUUUAAGCUGUUACACUUGAGAACCGCGACGGAAGGUAUUCGAACAUGCAUGUACAGAACACACCGAGAUUAAGUUACUCCUACAAUACGAGGACUAAGGAUGAAAAAUCACCUGGAGGAUAGAAACUGUUGAAAGAAUGAUAGCGAGUUAAAUAACCGUUUUCACAAAGUUUUUUAGACUUCAUCGACUUAAGUUGAACCUUAUAGGCACCACGGCCCACAGAUAGAAGUAUUUCAUCACUAUCCUCAAGGGAUCCCAAUAUACGUCUCACAACUGCCCUCUUUCCUUGAAUCUGUUUAGGGAGCCCAAUAAUCAUAUGCAUGUCAAUUGUUUUCCAUAGCACCCAUGUGGCAACACCGUGAAAAUUGAUAUUCCUCUGCCACAUUUGUAAGUGAGGGUAAGACAAUAUGGCAAACCCAAUCGCGCCAUCCCCAGCCUGGAUGAUGCAAUGACUACCAUGGCGAAAAUCAUUUGUAAGAGGAGGCCCCCUAAUCACAGCUAGGCUCUGCUCAUCCAAAUCAAACUUAAGUAUGUCAUUGCUUAUAGAAUCCAACAACCAGUAAAGGGCAUUACCAACAAGCAACCCAGGGGUAUGGUCAUAAAAAAGCUCAAAUGAAACGGUUGAUGGAAUGAUAUCACCCCAUUCAC